AAAGACUGAAUGAUUCCUAAUAUACUUCAAUACUUGAUCAGUUUUCUUGUAAGAUCCUUUAGAAUGUACAUGGUGAGUUACGAAAUUCAUGGCUAUUGUUAACAAUCAUUCGGAAUUCAUUUGACAGAAGGUUCAUUUAUUAGUUUGGUCACGAUUGGUUAUGUUUAGUUCAAGUUCUGGUAGGUAUAAAGUUCCUAAAAUUUUCAAGUGACCGCUCUUAGGUAUAGUCUUAAGAUAUAAGUCACAGGUUUAUCACAUCAUCAACCUCCCUUUUGGUUCAGGGAGAGAAAUCUUCUAGGUAUGAUGAUUAUGAUUUAUCAUGCUUUGGCUGCACUACUCUGAUACUUAUAUACUUAAGAGGUUUGUAAUGGUUUGUUGUGAGAACAUGCCCUAAGGUCUUUUUUUUCACCAAUAGAAAUUUAUUUAGGAGUAAUGAGAUUUUUUUUUAAGAUGAUGGAUUCGAUAAAACUUGAUGUUACUCAUGUUAUUUCUUUUCAUCAUUUUUCUCGUACUU
RNAcentral lists this long non-coding RNA (514 nucleotides) under Carica papaya (papaya). Its description in RNAcentral is "long non-coding RNA (CPAP_LNC005057)". The record is from RNAcentral. Lineage: Eukaryota; Viridiplantae; Streptophyta; Magnoliopsida; Brassicales; Caricaceae.